UACGGAGGGGGCUAGCGUUGUUCGGAAUUACUGGGCGUAAAGCGCGCGUAGGCGGACCUGCAAGUCGGGGGUGAAAGCCCCGGGCUCAGCCCGGGAAGUGCGCUCGAAACUGCGCGGCUCGAGUGCCGGAGGGGAGAGUGGAAUUCCUGGUGUAGCGGUGAAAUGCGUAGAUAUCAGGAGGAAUACCGGUGGCGAAAGCGACUCUCUGGACGGCAACUGACGCUGAGGCACGAAAGCGUGGGGAGCAAACAGG
This 253-nucleotide ribosomal RNA is filed under the name uncultured bacterium. Its description in RNAcentral is "partial 16S ribosomal RNA". It matches the Rfam family "Bacterial small subunit ribosomal RNA", at positions 524 to 776 of the family's 1533-position model. The record is from RNAcentral.